Molecule: non-coding RNA, 82 nt
Organism: Ameiurus melas (black bullhead)
Lineage: Eukaryota; Metazoa; Chordata; Actinopteri; Siluriformes; Ictaluridae
Source: the annotation of a GenBank genome assembly
CGCACGGUGGCUUAGUGGUUAGCACUUUUGCCUCACACCUCCAGGGUAGUUCAAGUCCAGGGUUCGAUUCCCGACCGGGCCG